Molecule: ribosomal RNA, 234 nt
Filed under: uncultured bacterium
Lineage: Bacteria
Description: partial 16S ribosomal RNA
Rfam family: Bacterial small subunit ribosomal RNA
Source: RNAcentral
UGAGCAACCUGCCCUUGACUCUGGAAUAACAGUUGGAAACAGCUGCUAAUACCGGAUAUGACUCUGUGUGACAUCACACGGAGUGGAAAGCCCUGGCGGUCAAGGAUGGGCUCGCGGCCUAUCAGCUUGUUGGUGAGGUAACGGCUCACCAAGGCUUCGGACGGGUAGCCGGCCUGAGAGGGCGACCGGCCACACGUGGGACUGAGAUACCGGCCCAGACCUCGUACGGGGAGG